This 494-nucleotide ribosomal RNA is filed under the name uncultured bacterium. RNAcentral's name for it is "partial 16S ribosomal RNA". It matches the Rfam family "Bacterial small subunit ribosomal RNA", at positions 28 to 506 of the family's 1533-position model. The record is from RNAcentral.
GACGAACGCUGGCGGCGUGCCUAAUACAUGCAAGUAGAACGCUGAAGGAGGAGCUUGCUCUUCUGGAUGAGUUGCGAACGGGUGAGUAACGCGUAGGUAACCUGCCUGGUAGCGGGGGAUAACUAUUGGAAACGAUAGCUAAUACCGCAUAACAGUAGAUGUUGCAUUACAUUUACUUAAAAGGUGCAAUUGCAUCACUACCAGAUGGACCUGCGUUGUAUUAGCUAGUUGGUGGGGUAACGGCUCACCAAGGCGACGAUACAUAGCCGACCUGAGAGGGUGAUCGGCCACACUGGGACUGAGACACGGCCCAGACUCCUACGGGAGGCAGCAGUAGGGAAUCUUCGGCAAUGGACGGAAGUCUGACCGAGCAACGCCGCGUGAGUGAAGAAGGUUUUCGGAUCGUAAAGCUCUGUUGUAAGAGAAGAACGAGUGUGAGAGUGGAAAGUUCACACUGUGACGGUAUCUUACCAGAAAGGGACGGCUAACUACGU